AGGACGAACGCUGGCGGCGUGCUUAACACAUGCAAGUCGAGCGGAAAGGCCCUUCGGGGUACUCGAGCGGCGAACGGGUGAGUAACACGUGAGCAACCUGCCCUCAGCUCUGGGAUAGCUCCCGGAAAACGGGAAUUAAUACCGGAUAUGACCCUGACCGACAUCUGUCAGGGUGGAAAGGUUUACCGGCUGAGGAUGGACUCGCGGCCUAUCAGCUAGUUGGUGGGGUAACGCCUACCAAGGCGACGACGGGUAGCCGGCCUGAGAGGGCGACCGGCCACACUGGGACUGAGACACGGCCCAGACUCCUACGGGAGGCAGCAGUGGGGAAUAUUGCGCAAUGGGCGAAAGCCUGACGCAGCGACGCCGCGUGGGGGAUGAAGGCCUUCGGGUUGUAAACCCUUUCAGCAGGACGAAGCGAGAGUGACGGUACUGCAGAAGAAGCGCGGCUAACUACGUGCAGCAGCCGC
Molecule: ribosomal RNA, 470 nt
Filed under: uncultured bacterium
Lineage: Bacteria
Description: SSU rRNA
Rfam family: Bacterial small subunit ribosomal RNA
Source: RNAcentral